GAUGAACGCUAGCGAUAGGCUUAACACAUGCCAGUCGAGGGGCAGCAUGGUCUUAGCUUGCUAAGACUGAUGGCGACCGGCGCACGGGUGCGUAACGCGUAUGCAACUUGCCUCACAGAGGGGGAUAACCCGUCGAAAGACGGACUAAUACCGCGUACACUCUAUUUUGGGCAUCCAAGGUAGAGGAAAUGAAAUUCGCUGUGAGAUAGGCAUGCGUCCCAUUAGCUAGUUGGUGAGGUAACGGCCCACCAAGGCGACGAUGGGUAGGGGAACUGAGAGGGUGAACCCCCACACUGGUACUGAGACACGGACCAGACUCCUACGGGAGGAAGCAGUGAGGAAUAUUGGUCAAUGGGCGAGAGCCUGAACCAGCCAAGUCGCGUGAAGGAUGACUGUCUUAUGGAUUGUAAACUUCUUUUGUAGGGGAAUAAAGAGGGGCACGUGUGCCCCAGUGAAUGUACCCUACGAAUAAGCAUCGGCUAACUCCGUG
This 490-nucleotide ribosomal RNA is filed under the name uncultured bacterium. RNAcentral describes it as "partial 16S ribosomal RNA". It matches the Rfam family "Bacterial small subunit ribosomal RNA", at positions 28 to 507 of the family's 1533-position model. The record is from RNAcentral.